ACAAGCGGUGGAUGAUGUGGAUUAAUUCGAUGCAACGCGAAAAACCUUACCUACCCUUGACAUGUCAGGAAGUCUGCUGAGAGGUGGAUGUGCCCGAAAGGGAACCUGAACACAGGUGCUGCAUGGCUGUCGUCAGCUCGUGUCGUGAGAUGUUGGGUUAAGUCCCGCAACGAGCGCAACCCUUGUCAUUAAUUGCCAUCAUUCAGUUGGGCACUUUAAUGAGACUGCCGGUGACAAACCGGAGGAAGGUGGGGAUGACGUCAAGUCCUCAUGGCCCUUAUGGGUAGGGCUUCACACGUCAUACAAUGGUCGGUACAGAGGGUUGCCAACCCGCGAGGGGAGCCAAUCCCACAAAGCCGAUCGUAGUCCGGAUCGCAGUCUGCAACUCGACUGCGUGAAGUCGGAAUCGCUAGUAAUCGUGGAUCAGCAUGUCACGGUGAAUACGUUCCCGGGUCUUGUACACACCGCCCGUCACACCAUGGGAGUGGGUUCCACCAGAA
RNAcentral lists this ribosomal RNA (500 nucleotides) under uncultured bacterium. RNAcentral's name for it is "bacterial SSU rRNA". It matches the Rfam family "Bacterial small subunit ribosomal RNA", at positions 925 to 1425 of the family's 1533-position model. The record is from RNAcentral.